CAAUAGCGUAUACUAAAGUUGUUGCGAUUAAAAAGCUCGUAGUUGGAUCUCAGGCAUGGGCGCACGGUCCGCCUCGCGGCGGUCACUGUGUGUUUUGUUUCCCAUCCUACGCUUCCCGGUUAUCAGCCCAUGGUGCUCUUCAAUGAGCGUUUUGGGUGGCCGGAACGUUUACUUUGAAGAAAUUAGAGUGUUCAAAGCAGGCACGUUGCCUGAAUAAUGGUGCAUGGAAUAAUGGAAUAGGACCUCGGUUCUAUUUUGCUGGUUUUCGGAACACGAGGUAAUGAUUAAGAGGGACAGACGGGGGCAUCCGUAUUGCGGUGUUAGAGGUGAAAUUCUUGGAUCAUCGCAAGACGAACAACUGCGAAAGCAUUUGCCAAGCAUGUUUUCAUUAG
Molecule: ribosomal RNA, 392 nt
Filed under: uncultured eukaryote
Lineage: Eukaryota
Description: partial 18S ribosomal RNA
Rfam family: Eukaryotic small subunit ribosomal RNA
Source: RNAcentral